AUAUUGGGACCAGAAGCCCCUUUCCCGCUAGCACAUCUAAUCUUCAGAUAGCCACUCAGAACCUCCAUGGAUUUGGGUCCCACCUGAGCCUGGAAAAAGAAAGCCCAGAAGGACAGAGUUGAGGAGGCUGGGUCUAGCCAGCCAAGAGGGCCUAUCCAGAAAGGACAGGAGCCUGGCACUCUGUCAAGCCUUCCAGAGACCCCACGAGGAUGUCCCCCUCAUGGGCUGGCCAGCCUCGAAGAACUAGGCCUGUGCGGGUAUCCAGGAGAACCAUGAAGCCGGAGGAGAAGCCAGCCACAACGCUACGGCCGCUGGGGCUGACUGCCAAGGAGCGGACAAGCCCAGGGUUCAGCCCGCCACCCAGGCGGAACUCAUGCUGCAGACAGAGUGAGGCUGAGCUGAGGCAUCACCCCCCACCCCACCCUGUUCUCCCAAAGGUCUUGCUCACUACCCAAGCCCACAAACCUGGAAGGCUUGAGCCUUUCACUUUCAUUAAGUGAAAAGCCCAGAACCCCAUCCCCAUCACAGGACAGAGUCCCAUCCUCCAGGGUUUGCUGUUGUGGGUGAUAUGUCUCCAAAUGAAAUUAGCAAGUGGCAGGAACAUUUUGAGUCCCUUUUCUCUGCCAGGUCCCCAGAGAACUGAGCCAAUACUUAGAGAACUGGACACGCUCUGACCUGCAGGCCAGGCUUCCUGCAGUCCACAAAGCGCAGGGUAGAGUCAGAGCUGGCCAUAGUGAUGCUGGUGUGAGGGGCAGGCAUGACAGCUACAGCGGUCAGGGGCACCCGGCUGUCCAGUGGCUCCACAAUACGAAGGGUCUUCCCUGGGAAGAGAAGGCACAGUGGAUCUGGGGUCCCAGCAGCUGAAGAAGAACCUUGGCAUUCUAGUCCCUGGACUUACCCCAUACCUACCUCCCACCCCCCAGGGAUCCUCAGAAAAUGCUACAGAAGUCUCAUGACUUUCCCACCCUUCUGCUUCCAUGGCUAGGCCAGGUUCCCAUCCCCAGAGCAACUUCCUUUCUUCAGACAGCACCCAUGACCCAAGGCCACCUCCCUCUCUCUGUCCCAAUAUUACUCCGUCCCCUUCCCUUUUAAGUCACAUUUUUCCCUACAGUGAUGUCAAAAAGUAAUCAAGCAACCAUUUACCAAAGAUGUAGUAUGUGCUACACAUUAAACCAAACCCCUAUGUACAUUA
Otolemur garnettii (small-eared galago) is the source of this 1192-nucleotide long non-coding RNA. RefSeq lists it as uncharacterized. The record is from RefSeq and is a predicted model, not a curated record. Lineage: Eukaryota; Metazoa; Chordata; Mammalia; Primates; Galagidae. The transcript is spliced from 2 exons.